This 858-nucleotide ribosomal RNA is filed under the name Lyomyces sp. Its description in RNAcentral is "partial large subunit ribosomal RNA". It matches the Rfam family "Eukaryotic large subunit ribosomal RNA", at positions 66 to 915 of the family's 3401-position model. Lineage: Eukaryota; Fungi; Basidiomycota; Agaricomycetes; Hymenochaetales; Schizoporaceae. The record is from RNAcentral. RNAcentral also lists the same sequence under 1 other name.
UAACAAGGAUUCCCCUAGUAACUGCGAGUGAAGCGGGAAAAGCUCAAAUUUAAAAUCUGGCGGUUUCACCGUCCGAGUUGUAAUCUGGAGAAGCAUUUUCCGUGUUGGACCGUGUACAAGUCUCUUGGAAUAGAGCGUCAUAGAGGGUGAGAAUCCCGUCAAUGACACGGACUACCAAUGCUUUGUGAUAUGCUCUCAAAGAGUCGAGUUGUUUGGGAAUGCAGCUCAAAAUGGGUGGUAAAUUCCAUCUAAAGCUAAAUAUUGGCGAGAGACCGAUAGCGAACAAGUACCGUGAGGGAAAGAUGAAAAGCACUUUGGAAAGAGAGUAAAACAGUACGUGAAAUUGUUGAAAGGGAAACGCUUGAAGUCAGUCGCGUUGUCCGGGACUCAGCCUUGCUUUGCUUGGUGUAUUUCCUGGUUGACGGGUCAACAUCAGUUUUGGUUGAUGGAUAAAGGCUGAGGGAAUGUGGCAUCUUCGGAUGUGUUAUAGCCCUUGGUCGCAUACAUUGACUGGGAUUGAGGUCUGCAGCACGCCUUUUUGGCCGGGGUUCGCCCACGUAACGUGCUUAGGAUGUUGGCAUAAUGGCUUUAAGCGACCCGUCUUGAAACACGGACCAAGGAGUCUAACAUGCCUGCGAGUAUUAGAGUGGAAAACUCUUGUGCGUAAUGAAAGUGAAAGUUGAGACCCUUUACCGGGGCAUCAACGCCCGGCCCUGAAGUUUACUGACGGUGCUGCGGUAGAGCAUGUAUGUUGGGACCCGAAAGAUGGUGAACUAUGCCUGAAUAGGGUGAAGCCAGGGGAAACUCUGGUGGAGGCUCGUAGCGAUUCUGACGUGCAAAUCGAUCGUCAAAUUUGGG